Molecule: long non-coding RNA, 248 nt
Filed under: Manduca sexta (tobacco hornworm)
Lineage: Eukaryota; Metazoa; Arthropoda; Insecta; Lepidoptera; Sphingidae
Description: uncharacterized LOC119190950
Source: RNAcentral
GCGUUUGUCAAAAAAGUAAAUAAAAUAAAUACAGGAGGAAAAUUUAUUUGUUGUUCUCGAAAUUCUUUGUAAAACUUGGAAGAACGCAGGCAGCAAAUUGCGAUAAAAUGGUAGAGAAGUGAAAAGUAGUUGGAGGAAGACAAGGUUUGUCCCACAUCUGCAGAAUAAAUUGCAACAAUAGAAGUGCAACACAGAAAAGAGUUGCAUGCUAUUCAGAUGGACAAUGAGCUCCAGUGAAAUAAAAAAAU